CUCAAACUAAAGAUGUUCCCAUCUUUCUCAUCCAUGAAUUAAUUUAUAAAGGAAUGCCCAUACUCUGUCUUGUUUAAAUGAAUUGGACCUAUUACUGUUCUAUCAACGUGUCUUUCUGUUUCCCUCUCCCAUGAUGUAGCUGGACGCACAAUGUCACAGAACGUGGACAGUCUCGCCAGGAUUUGCCUGGAGAACAUCGCAGCCAAUAUGCAAAAUGUGUGGCUGGCAGAUUUCACUGACAUGGAGGAAUAUACCUUCAUGUACAUCGGGUGA
Pelobates cultripes (western spadefoot toad) is the source of this 273-nucleotide non-coding RNA. The record is from the annotation of a GenBank genome assembly. NCBI's taxonomy places the organism in Eukaryota, Metazoa, Chordata, Amphibia, Anura, Pelobatidae.